Long non-coding RNA from Dermacentor silvarum, 1882 nucleotides. RefSeq lists it as uncharacterized. Lineage: Eukaryota; Metazoa; Arthropoda; Arachnida; Ixodida; Ixodidae. The record is from RefSeq and is a predicted model, not a curated record. The transcript is spliced from 4 exons.
UGUGAAGUUCACAGGCGCCCGGAAGCUCGCCGACCUUCACGAAAGUUUGCGGAUGGGUGGGUUCGCGCACCUGAUGACAUGCAACGAUCUCCUAAUACAGCAUGCUGGAAGCUGCACAGGGGAGUUGGCAAGGGGGCACAAGAAAGCAAUGCCCCGUUGCUGUCCGUAGGGUGAACGCAAGGCGGCUCGUGGCGGCCGCAAUUUCUACGCUGCGCUUUUCAUCUCUGAAGCCAUGCGCAGCAGCGUGCAGUCGUCAUGUUCAGAAAAGCAGUGCAAAGGUACCCGAAUAAGCUGUACAACAUUGCUGCAAGGUGCCUUGGUAAACCAGUACCCAGCCCUGAGGAACAGAUUGGACUCUGGCUAUACGCCAGAACAGGAGUUUGCCCACCCCACAUUGCUGUACACUGGCGACAACCGCAUCUCUUCCAAGGCCCUGUGUGUGAAGUGUGGAUAUGUAUGUGUAGAUGUAUUGGACUUCACUUCCGGUGUAACGGGGUUAUUUUUAUUUUCUAUGUACUGGGGCUUUCAACAUCGAAUACAUCAGCUCUGCGGAGCAGACACUCUCAUUGCUGCAACACAUGAUUGAAAUGAAAACGAAAACGACAAAACUAGGCGCCAAGUCCCAACAGCUUUAAUAGCACGGUUAACUGCUAGAGCUAACAAAAUCACAGCCAGUACUGAGCAGGCUGAGAAAUCUGACUAAGCUGCUAAAGUCGUCUUGAAAUGCACCUUCCUGUAUGCACUUAGCCUUUUUUGUUUCUUUUUUUUAACGCUCAGGCUAUUUUGGUGUUCGUAGCCUUGGAUUAUGCAGCUGAGUAAUACUGCCAAUAGCUAGUCAAACCUCGAAAACUUUAUUUUGUUUAAAUGUUAUUCAUAGUUUUUGUAUUAUGGGACAUAAAGCAAACACUCACCAAUAAUAUUUUAAAAAAUAGUGAAAUUACAAGAAAUUGUAUUUCGGAGCCAGUAUGGGUCCUUUGUUCCCAAAUGACAGCAGAGGCAAUGGUUUGGUUCUGUACAGGUGAGAUGGCGGAGAGCGCAUGCAUAGAUGACAGGCAGAUUAUCGUGUGACCUUCCUAUCGCUUAGCACGUCAUCUGAAUAUGCUGUGAUUUUAGUAGUAAUUGCAUUGGUAAUAUUGCAGUGGCAAUUAUGGAUGCCUAGUGCUAGUGUAUAGAAGGCCCUGUUUUCUCCUGGUGUUCGGAUAAUGCGUCGGAAAUAAGGUUGCUUUUAAAGAGCUAGUGCUUAUCCUGCUUUGGGUGCUUCUUAACGUUGCCAGAUUGACAGUGAAUUACAUUUUUUGCAUGUGAAUAUGUACAUGGAGCCAAGUUAGUUCAAUCUUCCAAAGGGGUCCUUCAUGUACACCAGUUCACCACAUAGCUUGCUGGAAGGGACAUGUGCCACCCAACCAUUGCAGUCAUUCAACACUCUGGCAAAAGUCUCGCUCAUGCCACAUACAUACAGGAUGGUAGCACGCUUGCUUUUCUUGCUUACCACUUAGCGGAUGGGCGCUGAGGCACGAUGUUCUUGCUCACUUGGCAGUUUUAGCGGCUGGCCAAGACAUUGCGUGUCAUUUAGCAUCAAGAUCAACUCUGCUUUUUGCCUUGUAUGACUUGAGCAAAGACCGAAAAGCGAGGUUACUAGUGAUGAGGCGGCCAACCUUUGUGGCCCUUGUGGUGUACAGAAAGAACAUCUAGGUAUUUUGACAUGUGUGAGUUUGCGAUGAACCCUCGUGGCAAGGCCAUUGGUGAUUCGUUCCUUGAGAACAUCAAUGGAUGCAAUGUACCUCUUCUCUCAGGCUCUUCGUGUGCUGUAAACUGAUGCUUUCCUUACAAAGUUAAGUGCUUUUUCUGAUUGCUAUAUGUACUGUCACUAAAGGUCACUGUG